UACGUAGGGUGCAAGCGUUAUCCGGAAUUAUUGGGCGUAAAGAGCUCGUAGGCGGUUGUCGCGUCUGCUGUGAAAACUGGAGGCUCAACCUCCAGCCUGCAGUGGGUACGGGCAGACUAGAGUGCGGUAGGGGAGAUUGGAAUUCCUGGUGUAGCGGUGGAAUGCGCAGAUAUCAGGAGGAACACCGAUGGCGAAGGCAGAUCUCUGGGACCGUAACCUGACGCUGAGGAGCGAAAGGCAUGGGGAGCGAACAGG
Molecule: ribosomal RNA, 255 nt
Filed under: uncultured bacterium
Lineage: Bacteria
Description: partial 16S ribosomal RNA
Rfam family: Bacterial small subunit ribosomal RNA
Source: RNAcentral